UACGAAGGGGGCUAGCGUUGUUCGGAUUUACUGGGCGUAAAGCGCACGUAGGCGGAUCGUUAAGUCGGGGGUGAAAUCCUGGAGCUCAACUCCAGAACUGCCUUCGAUACUGGCGAUCUUGAGUCCGGAAGAGGUGAGUGGAACUCCUAGUGUAGAGGUGGAAUUCGUAGAUAUCAAGCGGAACACCGGUGGCGAAGGCGGCCUUCUGGACAGUGACUGACGCUGAGACGCGAAAGCGUGGGGAGCAAACAGG
RNAcentral lists this ribosomal RNA (253 nucleotides) under uncultured bacterium. RNAcentral describes it as "partial 16S ribosomal RNA". It matches the Rfam family "Bacterial small subunit ribosomal RNA", at positions 524 to 776 of the family's 1533-position model. The record is from RNAcentral.